RNAcentral lists this small RNA (2762 nucleotides) under Pan troglodytes (chimpanzee). RNAcentral describes it as "processed transcript". Lineage: Eukaryota; Metazoa; Chordata; Mammalia; Primates; Hominidae. The record is from RNAcentral.
GCAGCUCACACACUUCUCCAGUGCUCUUACUUCAUUCUGUCUUGGAGAUGAUGCCCUCACACCCGUCCCCCUUUCCCAAGCCCAUGAGUCCCUCGAGGCAGGAACUGUCCUCUUUCUGUCUGGGAGCACAGUGGUUGGCACACAGGCGGGAAACAGUAAAUACCUCUGGAAUGAUAAGGAGUAGGGCUAUUUUAUCAGGGUCUCUCAUGUGCCAAGGCUUAUGCCAGCUAUUCACUCAGGGGGCAUUCCUGCAGUGCUGUGUGUCGCACCUAGGCUCUGAGCCCACCGGAGGGUGCAGAGACGCACACUGGCCACCCCAGCCCUCAAGGAGUUCAUGUCCAGUGGAGGAAGUGGCAAUAACGCCCAUAUCUUGAGGGCUUCAUUGAAAGAGUGUUCCCUGAGCACCUAGGCCAUGCCUAGCACUGUGUGCUAGCGGGUACAGACAUGUCAUCCCAUGGAACCUGAAGGUACAAUUACUGAGCUCAUCAUUGCUGUCGUUCAGGCCACUCAGAGAAGUUAAGUAACUUACUCAAAGACACAUAGCCAGCAAGUUAAGCCCUGACCUGACAGUGAUGACUACAGCACAAGUGGACAACGACUUUGUUGCAUGAAAUCUCAGUGUGUAUAGAAUACUUAAACGUUAUUAAUAUAUAGUAACUAUACUAAUGAUAAUAACAGAGUAGCUAGGACCUAUGGAAGGUCUCUUUUAUGUUGUGAUCAUUACGCCUAUCAUUCCGAGUAGUCUCUACCACCCUGGAAAAUAAGUACCAUUAUAUCCCAGCUUGCAAAUGUGGAAACUGAGGCAAGAAGAAGUGAAAUCACUUGGCCCAGGUUCACAGCUAAGAAAGGGCAGAGUUUGGGGGGUCAAUCCAGGCCUGUCUUCUUGCAAUCCCUGUGCCGGGAUCCAGGGUGCCCCAGCAGGCUGGUGGAGGGCUGGGGAGAAGUGCAUAUCCUGGGCUGGAGUCCUGGGCAGGGCCCAGCUACUGUGAGGCCACUGCCUCAGGCAGCGGGAUCUGGGCAGCUCUGCAGAGAGGGCUGUGCCGCUUUGCGGGUCACCGAUGGGGGUGCGGUUUUUCCUCCGCAGUGGCAGAGGACGACAGCAGCUGUGAGGUGAACGGCCGCCUGUAUCGGGAGGGGGAGACCUUCCAGCCCCACUGCAGCAUCCGCUGCCGCUGCGAGGACGGCGGCUUCACCUGCGUGCCGCUGUGCAGCGAGGACGUGCGGCUGCCCAGCUGGGACUGCCCCCACCCCAGGAGGGUCGAGGUCCUGGGCAAGUGCUGCCCUGAGUGGGUGUGCGGCCAAGGAGGGGGACUGGGGACCCAGCCCCUUCCAGCCCAAGGACCCCAGUUUUCUGGCCUUGUCUCUUCCCUGCCCCCUGGUGUCCCCUGCCCAGAAUGGAGCACGGCCUGGGGAUCCUGCUCGACCACCUGUGGGCUGGGCAUGGCCACCCGGGUGUCCAACCAGAACCGCUUCUGCCGACUGGAGACCCAGCGCCGCCUGUGCCUGUCCAGGCCCUGCCCACCCUCCAGGGGUCGCAGUCCACAAAACAGUGCCUUCUAGAGCCGGGCUGGGAAUGGGGACACGGUGUCCACCAUCCCCAGCUGGUGGCCGUGUGCCUGGGCCCUGGGCUGAUGGAAGAUGGUCCGUGCCCAGGCCCUUGGCUGCAGGCAACACUUUAGCUUGGGUCCACCAUGCAGAACACCAAUAUUAACACGCUGCCUGGUCUGUCUGGAUCCUGAGGUACAGCAGAGGUGCAAGACCUAGUCCCCUUUCCUCUAACUCACUGCCUAGGAGGCUGGCCAAGGUGUCCAGGGUCCUCUAGCCCACUCCCUGCCUACACACACAGCCUAUAUCAAACAUGCACACAGGCGAGCUUUCUCUCCGACUUCCCCUGGGCAAGAGAUGGGACAAGCAUUCCCUUAAUAUUGAGGCUGCAGCAGGUACUGGGCUGGACUGGCCAUUUUUCUGGGGGUAGGAUGAAGAGAAGGCACACAGAGAUUCUGGAUCUCCUGCUGCCUUUUCUGGAGUUUGUAAAAUUGUUCCUGAAUACAAGCCUAUGCGUGAUCUUGUGUGUCAGGCCUGUGUUUUCUGAGAAAGCCCUCCCAUUAUCCGGGGCAGAAUUCAGGGGCGGAGUUCUCUGUGAACCUCACAAGGUGAAAUCACAUGGUCUUAAAGAAAGCCAGAAGACAGGCCUUCGAGUGAUCCAAGAAACCCAAUUCGUAUUAAUAAUAAUUAACUUAUUUAUUUAUUUUUUUUUUUGAGAUGGAGUUUUGCUCUUGUUGCCCAGGCUGGAGCUGGAGUACAAUAGCACGAUCUCGACUCACUGCAGCCUCCCAGGUUCAAGUGAUUCUCCUGCCUCAAGAUUCCUGAGUAGCUGGGAUUAUAGGCACAUGCCACCAUGCUCGGCUUUUUUUUUUUUUUUAAAUAUAUUUUUAGUAGAGAUGGGGUUUAGCCAUGUUGGUCAGGCUGGUCUCGAACUCCUGACCUCAAGUGAUCCGCCCGCCGCCUCGGCCUCCCAAAGUGCUGGGAUUACAGGCGUGAGCUACUGCACCCAGCCAAUAAUUAACAUUUCUUGAGCGCCUGCUAUGUGCUAGGCACUAGCACUUUAUACAGACCAGUGCUUCCCAGCGUUUUUGACCAGAGAAGAGCAGGGAGAAUGAAGGCUGCCUCCCAGGGACUGGGGAGCAUAGCCUGAAAUCAACUAACCCAAGGGUGAAAUUGUUCGAAGUCUCAUGUUUUAUUGUUUACAAACAAAACAAAAC